Dermochelys coriacea (leatherback sea turtle) is the source of this 6958-nucleotide RNA transcript. It is a transcript of the gene named CCR4-NOT transcription complex subunit 7, with no coding region annotated. Lineage: Eukaryota; Metazoa; Chordata; Testudines; Dermochelyidae. The record is from RefSeq and is a predicted model, not a curated record. The transcript is spliced from 6 exons.
AAGGUCAGGGCGCGGCGCGCGGAGAUGAUGUAAUGGCUUUGUGCCGUGGGGGCGGCAGGUUCUGCGCUUCUCGGUGUGACUCGCUAUUCUGGGGCCGCCUCCGCCGGGUCCCAGGCAGACCCACCGCCACCUCAGGCCCGGCUCCGCCCAGCCCGUGUGAGCCCGGAGUCGGUAAACAAAUAAAAUCUAUUUUAUGAAACUGACCCUCAAUCAAGUAUAACUCUUUGAUGCCUGGUAUCUAAAUCCCCCUCCCCCCCACUAUGCCAGCAGCUACAGUAGAUCAUAGCCAAAGAAUUUGUGAAGUUUGGGCUUGUAACCUGGAUGAAGAAAUGAAGAAAAUUCGUCAAGUUAUACGGAAGUAUAAUUAUGUUGCCAUGGACACAGAGUUUCCAGGUGUAGUUGCAAGGCCUAUUGGAGAAUUCAGAAGCAAUGCGGACUAUCAGUACCAACUGCUGCGCUGUAAUGUAGACUUGCUAAAGAUAAUUCAGCUAGGACUGACAUUUAUGAAUGAGCAAGGAGAAUACCCUCCAGGAACUUCAACUUGGCAAUUUAAUUUUAAAUUUAAUUUAACGGAGGACAUGUAUGCCCAGGACUCCAUAGAACUACUAACAACAUCUGGUAUCCAGUUUAAAAAGCAUGAGGAAGAAGGAAUUGAGACUCAGUAUUUUGCAGAACUUCUUAUGACAUCAGGAGUAGUGCUGUGUGAAGGAGUCAAAUGGCUUUCCUUUCAUAGUGGUUAUGACUUUGGCUAUCUAAUCAAAAUCCUGACUAACUCUAAUUUACCUGAAGAGGAGCUGGACUUCUUUGAGAUACUCCGGUUGUUUUUCCCCGUCAUUUAUGAUGUGAAGUAUCUCAUGAAGAGCUGCAAAAAUCUCAAGGUAAAUGAUUUGAUAUCUGGUUCAGAAAAGAAUUUUCUAAGAUGGCAUUUUUUCCUACUGAAAGAACAUAUAUGGCAUCUGUUCACUGCCCCGUCCAGCAGUGAGCUCUACCUUGAUGGUAUUAUUUGUUACACAAAAUUGACUAGACUAAUGGUUAUUUGAUAUAUAAAAAGUUAUUGAUGAAAUGUAAGAGGCAGGGAGGAGCACACAUUUUUGUCCUUGUGGCUCCUAGCUAUUUAAAAAUUACAAAUCAAUCCCAUUUAUUGGCAGCAUCAUAGAUCUAUGCUACCAAAUGAUAAACCCAUGUUCGGAGGAAGUUACAUCUUGCUGUUAACUUCUCAGGCUGUUAGAAUUGAAGGGCUUGGCCUCUGUGAGCGUGGUAUUAAUGACACACUCUUGCAUCAUUCCUCACUGCUCAAUCCACGGAGGGGCUGCAGUUAUGAUAAGGUGUAGUGAAAAGUGACUUUGGUGUGAAGGGAUGGAAUGGCUAGACCUGCUGGUCGCCCUGUAGGCAAAAAUGAGCAAUGACAGAUAUGCUCAGAGCCAACUCAUGACUUCUAGAAAAAUAGACAGGGUUAGAAACUAACCUCUCAUCUCAAGCCAGUUGGGCUAUUAAUUGGCUUGUUCUAUUAGGCAUAAAAUUUGGAGAAGAUUUGAUUGGCCUGGAGAAUGAAUGUGAACUGGAAACAAAUGUAUGAAGGGAAGGACAUCAAAAAGAUAUGCUGCUGGGAUUGUUACAGCCACGCUUGCCAAAGAAGGCCUCGUAUCUGGACUGGUUUUGAAAUGAAAGGGGCACAACUCAUCUGAGGCAAUAGGUGGCUCACUGUUUUGAUGGAAGGCGACACAGAACACUCUGGGUUUUCUAAAUGAGAACACGUGGAAACUGGACACAGACUGACUGACUAAUGCAGCCACCUCUGAGUACAGGGAUGGUAUGCCACUCUUCAUCUCAGAAUGCUGAGCAAGUGAUUUAGACGAUGCUGAUGAGCUUGAAUUUUGUGAGGCUAUGCAGGUAAAGGACAUGUAUCUUUUUAAUGAGGAUCUUACUGGUGACUGAAGUAAAGAACAUAAUUUCCACCAUCUCCUGUGCUUAUCGGUCUGCACUGGAUGUGGCGUGGAGUGGGUGGGAUGGUCUUUUCCAUCAGGAAAAGUUUGCUUAUCAGGAAAAGCAAACUAGCCCAGUAUCUGGUCAGGAGUUUUGCAUCCCAGCAGCAACCCUCACCAACUGAAUAAAGAAUGUUUAUUAGGGACCAUCGAAUUGAAACUGGGUUUCCACUGGGACCAAGAGAAGUAAUGAAGUAGUUGGAAAAACUGCAGAAGUCAACAAAAUUGUGCACCCUCAUGGACUGAAACAAAACCUUUGCUGCUUAUAUACAGUUGUUUUGUCCCAAGUACUAAAUGUGUAAUCCACUCUUAUGGACUUGUGGGGGGAAUUAACAAAUUUAACAGCUGCUAUCAUUAGAGCUUUGUGAUAAUGGCAACUAAACUGAAGACCAAUUAUGACAGGAGGGGGAGAGAUUGGGAUUACGCUGUUCCUCCAAACACCAUUGCUGAAACAGUCCCAUUACUGUCCACAACAAUGAAAUGAUGCCAACUGUGUAGAUCUGUCCCAAACUGAGAACAGCUGGUGUGAGUCUUUGGAAGCCAAAUCAUUAAUUACUUGCAUGCACUGUUGCCUAAAUGAAUUUCUUUGCUUUUUUUUGUUUAAAUCUCUAUUAAAUUGCAGUGAAUUGAAUUGCUGUAUUGAGGUCCUUUAUUGAUUGUGCAAGCUACUCUUGUUGGUCACUUCAUUUUAUUAGAGACACUUGAUUUUCCUUUGACACAUUUUGGUGCUGAUAGUCAACCCUGGGGACCGAAACCCCCUCUACAGAAUUGUGUGGAUGGUGGUUGCAGCCAUUCUGUAGAAUUACCUCCUGACUCCAGCAGAAAUACUACAGAAAGAGUAUGGUCACUUGCUGUUGCUCAUCUACAGCACUACUCCUAUUCUCCAUCUUCUGUUGGGUGGGGACCAUGGUGCAGCUGUAGCCUGGUGACCAAUAGCAAUACAGAUUCUUCCCUAAAGAGGAAGAAUGGUCCAGUGGUUGGAACACUAGCUGGGGACUUGAGAGACCCAAAUUCAGUUCCCUACUCUGCCAUAAACUGUCUGUGUGACUGGAGGCAUGAUACUUAGUCCCUCUGAGCUGCAGUUUCCUAUCUGUGAAAUGGGAAUAGUAAUACCUCCCUGCCUGAUGAGAUGUUGAGGAUAAAUACGUUAAUGAUUGUAAAAGGUUCAGAUUCUGCAGUAAUGGAGGACCAAUAAGUACCUUAACUAGACAGAUAGAUCCUGACUAAAUUUAAUGGUGGGGUGGGGCUUGGGAAGCUGCACAGAGUAGUUAACACUCUGUACCAAUGUCCUGAGAUUUGUGGAGUUGGGCUUGUAUUCCCCAUUGAUCUUGGGCCAUCAUCCGUGGUGAUGUGAUUACAGAACCAAGCUGCUAACCUGUCUGUCUCAAAGGAAUGAUGCAUCUGAAAUAUUUUGAAUUAUUUUUUCUUUUCCUUCUUGUGGCUAUUCAUAUCUAAGGGGAGGGAUGUUUUGACCUACAGUUUGUAAAGUAUUUUUGGUUCUCAAGGUUAUAUUAAAAACCUUUUGAUCAGCACUGCCUUAAUCUGGAGUUUUAGAAGAAAAAAGUGAUUUAGAGAAGAAAGGCUCUGUAUCCCUUAAUUACUCUCCAGAGAGAUCCAGUGUUUCCCUUGUUUUUCCAACAGUUGUAAACUAUUUUGUGUGACAAACUUUUAGGCACCCUUUUUGGAAAAUUUUGGCCAAUAUCCACAACCGAAGGUGAUGCUUUCACCCUGUCCUGAAUUUUUUUUUCUAGAUCAGUGUUACACAGACUGCAGAGGCUGGAAUGUAAUAAUUCCACAUUUUUCCUUUUUCUUUGUAACAGGUAGGUUUAAGACGCAUGACAUUCAAGCUAAGUUAGAAUUGAUAGGUGUGCUGUCUCACUGCUAUCACUACCAGUAAUGAGAGAAGUGAUCUUCAGCUACUGUCUAGUCAGGAGGGCAUGUGGCUUAAAAGGGAUGAGUGUGGGUUUUAAGAGGGCCCAGUUUUUAAUGAGGCAUGUUUCCAAUAGCAAUCCAUGUUAAUGCUAUGGGGAAUACUGAAAAUGUCUAUUCAGCAGGUGUGCCGCCUCUUCCCUCCUACCCUUGUCCCCAUGGUGCUUAUUUAAAAAGGGGAAAUUAGGUAAUAGUGUGAGUUGAAAUGCAUGCAAAAUUCAGAUUGUAGCACAAACCAGCAAAAAUGACAAAAGUCAGAGAGACAUUGUCACGCUAUAAAAUAUUUAAAUUACCCCACACAUUUUCUUAUCUAUCACAUUAACACCUUACAUAAUUAAAAUGGAAAUAAUUUUUAAAAUGUAGUUUUCACUACCUUACACUGUCUGCUCAUUUUUGACAUGUUGGAUGAUUUAAAAUAAACUAGUUAAUUUCAAUGUCAGGUUCUUAUGCCCUAGCACCAUUCUGUAGUGUUUGGCUUGCAGAUGCCACUUGGAAAUUAAUAAAGUUUCCAUUUGAAUUAAAAAAAACAAACUAAUGACUCAUGGAAACGUCCUUGUUGGCUGUAACAUUCAUAGUUCUUUCUUCAUAGAACAAUCUGCAUUUGGGGCCAAAUUUGACUUGGUUAAAGUUCAGUCUUUAACUUGCAUUAUUUCACCUCAGCCUCUUCUCCCUCUCUUUUCCACCUCCAUCUCCCAAAAUGGUACAUAGUCAAUGGAAUUCAAAUACUAUAUGUUCCCUUUUUAAUAUUCAAAAGAACUUGCUUUGUGCUAGCUUCCUUCCUGUCUUUGACUACUUCUGUGUUUUGGUUUCCUUUUUUUCAGAUGUAAAAAAUGUAGUGCAGGCUAAAAGCAUUUUGAUGCUCUAUCUAGUUUCAACCUAUCGUUGGCAGAGUAGUGAUCCAAAGCAGUCCACAGUUUCACUAUGCAGUAUAGUGUUUCAAAAAUUAUUGUAAGGUAACUGAUUUUCUCCCAGUUGUACAACCUUUUAAAGAGUGGUACCUCUGCAACAUAGUCUUGCAUGUACCAUAACUAUAUUGUCCCAUGGGGAUCAGUUUAGCUAAGAUUACACUAACCUGUCUAAAGCUGAAUUGAUCUGCAAAGAGGCUGCUUCUGCUUGUAGCACCCCUAUCGCUUUCGUGACACUAAAAUGAACGGGCUGAAUUCAUCAGUACCUGUUUUGGGGAUAGUUAUAAGAGAUGCUGCUAAUCUUAUGGAGAAACUGGAAUAGGGAUAGUCUGAUUUGUUCAGUUGUGUGGUUUUUUUUUAAUUUUUAUUUUUAUUUGUCUGUGAAAGAGUCGGGCAUUUUUAUUCUGUGGACCAUUUCUCAAGAUAGGACUCAUAUCAUUGGCAGCUCUCCUCCUGAUCUCUCACCUGCUGCACAACUGUAGUGCUAUGAAGUUAUAUGAAAAAGUAGUGCUAGGGCAGGGUAAAGGAGUGAAGAUGAAAAUAAACUUGGUUUGAUUAAAUGGAUACAGCUGCUUGGUUAGUUCCCCUCCUGUAUUGUAAAUUGUGCUAUUUGUUUCCUCUCCCUGGAUGUAGGACUUGUAUAUAUUAGUUCCAAACCUUCCCCCAUUGCCCGCAACCCCUAAAGACUCUGAUUUCUCCUAGUGCUUUGUUUGGUUCUGUGUGUAUGCACUACCUUGUCUAUUUUGAGAUUUUUUCCAAAUUUGAUUCAGUUGAAUUUAUAAAAUACACCCAAUAAAAGGACAUGAAGGUGCUGUGAGGGAGGAGAGGGGUGUGCUUAGUUGGUCAAAAAGCUUUUGGAAGUCACAAGUUUCCCACUGGGCGGCAAUUAACAGGAAGAAAAAUUGCUUGAAGACUGAAAGAUACUUUACUGUUAGGUAACGUGUAGACGAUCAAUGAUCCAUGCCCUACAAUUGGAGACUCUCUGUAGAGCAGUUCCCAAUUUUGAGCCCUAUGUUUACUUGCUACACUCAGUGUCUAAAAGCUGUCCUUUUUGUACAUGGGCUGUUUUGUGUGUGUGUGUGUGUGUGUGUGUGUGUGUGUGGAGGAGCUUUCAGCACAGAUGUGGCUUAAAAUGUUUUCUUUUAAAAAAUACACUGUCAGUAGCACAAGUGCCUGUUUUUUGUGUGCUUAUGGUAUCUAAUAUCUUCUUGAACCUGGUUACAAUGCAAUUUACAUUACUUUUUACACAGAUGUUUCAUUUACUCUUUUAUGGCAGUUAAUAAAACAAAUUAAAACAUGGUUAAAGAUCGGUUGAAUGUUAGCUUUUUCACUUUGUUCUUUUUUCCCCUCUUGAAUUUUACAACUUCACCUGGGUUCAGGGUUCUCCAUUAAUUCCUAAGGUAAACCAUUUUCCUGGAUUCCCUCUACUACUUUAGAUGCUUUGAAGUUUUGUGGGGGAAGCGCAGAACCCUGAGCUUAGGUGGUGGCAGGUAAGUGAAGGAAAAAACUGUGUUUUUGAAUGAAAGCUAAUUACUUUCAAGACAAGUUGGAGUGCAUGUGUUUGUAGUAAUUUGGAUCUUAAAUUGCUUUGUUUGAAUUACCAUUGUUCACGUUUAAAUUCUAGCCCUAUUAGAAAAGUAGGAAAUUAAAGAAACACUUUGAUUUCUGAAACUGUCAUUCAGCAGUAGCAUAAAUCCUUUCAGUUUAGUCAAUGUAAUACUUGAAGGAAUUGCCUUGUUCAGUAGUAAUUCCUUCAACUUUAAUUGGCUGGUGUGCCUAGGCUUAUUAGGUCUAAGACAGUCAUUAAUACUUGAAAGUGCUUGAUACUUAAAGCCUGAAUGAAAAGCUUGGCUUUUUCAAGUGUGUGCUGGUUGUAUAUCUCUACUAUGACCGCUAUUGUGCUAAGCUAAAUAUAUACAAAUGGUCGUUGAAUAGACUUCGUUGUGCAGAAUUCUAGUGCUACUAUUGAAUGAUCUGACUUUGUAAUUAUUAUCCCCACUUUGACUGUGUAAUGCUCCUUCCUUUUUCAGGGUGGAUUGCAAGAAGUUGCAGAGCAGUUGGAGCUGGAAAGGAUAGGACCACAACAUCAGGCAGGAUCUGAUUCUUUACUCACGGGAAUGGCCUUUUUCAAAAUGAGAGAAG